ACAUAGGCAGCCCUAGCAUUCCCCUUCCACUUGCUUUGCACCACAUGCACAAAGACCGGUUGCUCCCUCUCUACUUGAUCUUCUUCUUGGGGCGAAGCUGGUUGCUGUGCCCGCACUUCUUCUUUCUACAAUUCACAGCCCGGGGGUGUAGACGGGCGUAGCACCUGCACAUGCGUAGAAAUUAUUAUUAAAUCUACCUUCAAUCCCCAUCUACGGCUCAACUCCGUACCACCACUCAGCACGAGCCAUUUCACGCAUUUCAGUACACAAACUGACCUUCGGUCAAGAACCCUUCCGCAUGCCAUAAUAUUUCACACCACCCCCCAUCCGAUCCCCAACGCUAAUGACACAAACUGCCUCUUCAAUGCUCUUCCACGAAAACGCCUACCCACCUAGCAUCUUAAUACAAUCUGUCACCAGCGAGGUUGCCAUGUAAGUGUGAGAAUCCUAACCCUUCCCGUAUGCAAAUCCCUCUAAUCCCGUAUGUGACAUCGGAGCAUAAUUAUAAUUAUGCUCCACUUUACAGCCUCGACAUAGCAUAAAAUUCAUCCUCUCCUGUCCACUCGCGGGACGCCCACCUUAUGAUUCUAUUAACUACACAUAAACCCGUACGACACAGUUCACAUGAAACUGCGCUGCAAUAGUGAGCUUAAAAGGGCCGAGCACUCACUUCCGGCAGAUCAUCUUCUCCUGGUUGUACUUGCGAGCCAGUGCCAUUAAAGAUGGCUCGAUAAUACCGCCCCGCAGACGGAGCACCAAGUGCAAGGUAGACUCCUUCUGGAUGUUGUAGUCGGCAAGAGUGCGGCCAUCCUCCAGCUGCUUGCCGGCGAAGAUGAGCCUCUGCUGGUCGGGAGGGAUGCCCUCCUUGUCCUGAAUCUUCGUCUUCACAUUGUCGAUAGUGUCGGAGGACUCGACCUCGAGAGUGAUGGUCUUGCCCGUCAGGGUCUUCACGAAGAUCUGCAUGGUGACAAUAAGCUCCGCGCCAACACCUCAACACUCGCCACAACAAACCGCAAAGGCGAAAGAGGGUGGGCGGGGCAGACUCCGC
This 1048-nucleotide long non-coding RNA is filed under the name Physcomitrium patens. RNAcentral's name for it is "long non-coding RNA (PPAT_LNC006716)". The record is from RNAcentral. Lineage: Eukaryota; Viridiplantae; Streptophyta; Bryopsida; Funariales; Funariaceae.